AACGCGAAGAACCUUACCUGGGCUUGACAUGUAGACGACGAUGUUAGAAAUAGCAUUUUCCCGCAAGGGACGGCUACACAGGUGCUGCAUGGCUGUCGUCAGCUCGUGCCGUGAGGUGUUGGGUUAAGUCCCGCAACGAGCGCAACCCUUGUCAUUAGUUGCCAGCAAGUAAAGUUGGGCACUCUAAUGAGACUGCCUAGGUUAACUAGGAGGAAGGUGAGGAUGACGUCAAGUCCGCAUGGCCUUUAUGCCCAGGGCUACACACGUGCUACAAUGGCCGGUACAGAAGGCAGCGAAACCGCGAGGUGAAGCAAAUCCCCAAAGCCGGCCCCAGUUCAGAUUGUAGUCUGCAACUCGACUACAUGAAGAUGGAAUUGCUAGUAAUGGCGAGUCAGCAACAUCGCCGUGAAUACGUUCCCGGGCCUUGUACACACCGCACUACUA
This 444-nucleotide ribosomal RNA is filed under the name uncultured bacterium. RNAcentral describes it as "bacterial SSU rRNA". It matches the Rfam family "Bacterial small subunit ribosomal RNA", at positions 958 to 1400 of the family's 1533-position model. The record is from RNAcentral.